UAACCCCAAUGAUGUCAGCACUGGGCUCCGAUCACUGUGAUGAUUUUGGUGCCUUCUGGAGACUUGACACUCUAGGAGACUGAGGGGUUC
Small nucleolar RNA from Anolis carolinensis (green anole), 90 nucleotides. Lineage: Eukaryota; Metazoa; Chordata; Lepidosauria; Squamata; Anolidae. The record is from Rfam.